UCUAGCAAAUUUUAUCUGGAUCUACAUUAAAGUCCCAUAAGAACAACAGCAUGGGGUGAAAUAUGUUGACAAAGGAUUAUGGUAAAAGUUUGUUCUCAAAAUUGGAUAAUCUAAGCAUCAUUUAAAAUUUUAUAAUCAGUGUAAAAUAGAUGUGAACAAGAUCUUUGACACAGGGUUUAUGUUUGUAGAUGAAGAAAGGUAAUUACUAAAUGAUAAUAAAAGCUGUAAUAUUUCAUUUAACUGAAAUCAAGUAAUUGUGCAGUAAUGAGUUCAGAAAUGCUUUAUUAUAUGUCAAGGAUGAAUAGAAUAUGUUAUGAGUACAAAUGAAUUGAAAACCAAAUGCUGCAGAGAGGAUGUCUUCUACUUUGGUUUCCAUGUAAACUUUCCACUGACAUUAGAUGAGGGUCAGUGUAAAUUGAAGGAAAUUUGAAGUCCUAAACUUCUGUCCCCAUUGAGUGAGGAUUAAUAAUCAUGGAACCUAUUUUCCCCUACCAUGUGGUUUUGAUCUUCCUGAUCUAGCCGCUGCUAGACAGCAGUGGAGUAGUUUCAGUCUAGAUUCCAGUGAACAACCAUCUUAGAGCUUGUCACUAUGAUGGGGUCAGCAACUGAGCUAACCUAGAAAGGAGCUUGAAGCCAUACAGGCAAAGAUCUUACUGAUCAUAAGAAAAUGACAACUUGACCUGAAGUUGUCCUUUUAGAACAAGACUGAUGUGCAAAGACUGUGUAACAGAAAUUUGCAGACUAUCUGGAGUGAGGAGCUGUCAUCUUCAGGGCUACUAGAAGGGAAUUUGCAAGAGUGGUGCACUCAUGUAACAAGUGAGAAAAAAAAAUGCAGUCAUGCAAAGGGAAAAAAAAAAAAGGAAAAGGAAGAAAGAAGAAAAAAAAUACAAGGAAGGGUGGAAGGAAAACUAAAACGUAAAUGCUAUUUUUUUGUCCACUAUAAUGUUAAGCUUUGAAUCACUCCAAUUGUAUACCUCAAAACUCAACUCCAAACUUUGGAAGCUUUGAGUUUUACCAAUAAAUACAAUAAGCCAUGACACAUUGGUUUCAUAAUAAAAGUAUGCUGACUUCCAAUGCAUCAAAUAAACCAACACCGAACAAUAAAUUUGCAUUUAACUAAACACUGAAGGCUGAAUUUUCAAACACUCUGAUUUCCAACCACCACCGUCAGCUGAACUUUUCAGUAUCCUUCCUUGUUCAGACUCCAGGCAUUGCUUGAUGCUAAAGUCAGCCAGUUCAGCUCACUGAUCUAAAAUUACCUGUGGAGGUGUGUUGUUUUCUAACAGGUCAGCAAUGUGAACCAACUCACCCUAUACCUGUGUGAGCACUGAGGGCAGGAAUAAGCAGCUGCAAGAUGACAAGAGACUGUAAGAGAGUGGCAGAACCAGCCUUUGUAUUGCCAUCCUGCUUCAACACUGAACUGGGCAGAAAGGGAACUGUCCUAAGCACCAACCUGAUUCUGCCAACCUGAUAUGCCACAGGGACCUCAACAGGAAAUUAACUGUUGAUCUCAAAAUCCUGGAUAUCUGUCAAAUAAAUCACUCUCAUGCUCAUGUACGUGAGACUGAAUAUACAGCAUGAUCUAUAGUUUUGAGUCCUACCAUCAAAACCUAAAGUUUCUGCCAGUUCAGUUAAAUUGGCUCCUGAGGUGGUGCAAGUCCUGUAUGGUUGAUGCAGGACCCACUUGGCCAUUGCUCCACAAAAUUUCCAACAACUCUCCAUCAAGAUGUCAAUGUCCCUAACUCUGUUACUGCAACUGCAUUGGUCCAUCUUCAUCUCUGGGACUUGCAGCCUGUCCUCCAAGGUUUGCACUAAAAAUUGACUUUCUUACCUUAUAUAUACAAUACCUCUGAGCUAAACUGGUAAGUAGGGGGGCAGGAGAGGAGGGAAGGAGAAAUUCAUGGUUUCCUGCUUUAGCCUGGUCUCAGAGGAAGUCAUUGUUUCCUGCAGCUUGGGUAGGGGAACAGUACAAAGCAGCUGCGUAACUGCUUCAAGACAAGAGAUCUGUUUAGAUAAGCCAAAAGCUGGGUAUGACUGAGCAAAGAGCAGUAUUGAACAUGGCUGUAAAGAACACUACCAGUCCUACCACCGCAUCAGAAGCUGCCAGAUCUGCCAUGUAGCUGUAUUUAUGUGUCUGCUCUCAUGCCACAUAAUCCCAUCACCACCUCGCAAGAACAUGAUGUAUCCACAAUCAAGCCCUGUGUUUGUGGAGUCUCCUCUUCUCAUCUAAUGACAAGGACGUUGCAGAAGGGAACAGAGGGGGUCUAGACCUCUCUGAUAAGAGGUGACUGUUUGUGACCUAGGACUUCAGGAAGGUAUUUCGGCUAACGAGGAGAAAAUUCAACUUUCGACUAUUCCCGAGCUCUCCGUUCCACAAAAUGUCCCCGCAGCUCCAAACCAGAAGUCGGUGAAUUCGACACCCGGAGAUGUUUUACACCAGAAAAGUUCGCCGAGACCCAUCCGAGCGGAGCAUUUCCACUGAUAACGGAGGAGCGGGUGGCUGUUAAUGGAAGAAAUACCGAAGUAGCCUCCGAAAUGCUCGUGCGGGCAGGGAGCCCUCCCAUCUCGCCUUGCCAUGGGCGCUUUGUUUUAGGCCUCACGCACACGGGGAGAGAGCUCGGGGGCAGCUCGGCAGCCCUCCCCCCCCAAAAAAAAAAAUAAAAAACAAAAAUGUGGAA
This is a non-coding RNA of Anas platyrhynchos (mallard), 2678 nucleotides long. NCBI's taxonomy places the organism in Eukaryota, Metazoa, Chordata, Aves, Anseriformes, Anatidae. The record is from RefSeq and is a predicted model, not a curated record.